UAGGGAAUCUUCCGCAAUGGGCGAAAGCCUGACGGAGCAACGCCGCGUGAGUGAUGAAGGGUUUCGGCUCGUAAAACUCUGUUAUUAGGGAAGAACAAAUGUGUAAGUAACUGUGCACAUCUUGACGGUACCUAAUCAGAAAGCCACGGCUAACUACGUGCCAGCAGCCGCGGUAAUACGUAGGUGGCAAGCGUUAUCCGGAAUUAUUGGGCGUAAAGCGCGCGUAGGCGGUUUCUUAAGUCUGAUGUGAAAGCCCACGGCUCAACCGUGGAGGGUCAUUGGAAACUGGGAAACUUGAGUGCAGAAGAGGGAAGUGGAAUUCCAUGUGUAGCGGUGAAAUGCGCAGAGAUAUGGAGGAACACCAGUGGCGAAGGCGACUUUCUGGUCUGUAACUGACGCUGAUGUGCGAAAGCGUGGGGAUCAAACAGG
This 429-nucleotide ribosomal RNA is filed under the name Actinomycetes bacterium. RNAcentral's name for it is "Actinobacteria bacterium partial 16S ribosomal RNA". It matches the Rfam family "Bacterial small subunit ribosomal RNA", at positions 355 to 776 of the family's 1533-position model. The record is from RNAcentral. Lineage: Bacteria; Bacillati; Actinomycetota; Actinomycetes.